RNAcentral lists this unclassified non-coding RNA (280 nucleotides) under uncultured fungus. Its description in RNAcentral is "sequence contains ITS1". The stretch from base 1 to 105 matches the Rfam family "5.8S ribosomal RNA", at positions 50 to 154 of the family's 154-position model. The record is from RNAcentral. Lineage: Eukaryota; Fungi.
GAAAUGCGAUACGUAAUGCGAAUUGCAGGACUCAGUGAAUCAUCGAAUCUUUGAACGCAUGUUGCGCUUUCGAGAGCCCUCGGAAGCAUGCCUCUCUGAGUAUCGGUUCCUAUCUCACACCUGGUGUGGAGAAUGAGAGUCGGACGCCUGUCCGUCUCUUGAAAUCAGGCAGCGCGCCCAAAGUCCAUCGGAUUCUUGGAACGAUAAUCCGCCAUGGCACCUGGAACGGGUUCCUAACCGACAAGAUCUCAGAUGAGGUAAGACGACCCGCUGAAUUUAA